This 85-nucleotide transfer RNA is filed under the name Ralstonia pickettii. RNAcentral's name for it is "tRNA-Leu". It matches the Rfam family "tRNA". From Rfam's summary of the family: Transfer RNA (tRNA) molecules are approximately 80 nucleotides in length. Their secondary structure includes four short double-helical elements and three loops (D, anti-codon, and T loops). Lineage: Bacteria; Pseudomonadati; Pseudomonadota; Betaproteobacteria; Burkholderiales; Burkholderiaceae. RNAcentral also lists the same sequence under 109 other names. The record is from RNAcentral.
GCCCGAGUGGUGAAAUUGGUAGACGCAGGGGACUCAAAAUCCCCCGCCGCAAGGCGUGCCGGUUCGAUUCCGGCCUCGGGCACCA